RNAcentral lists this ribosomal RNA (449 nucleotides) under uncultured bacterium. Its description in RNAcentral is "bacterial SSU rRNA". It matches the Rfam family "Bacterial small subunit ribosomal RNA", at positions 28 to 504 of the family's 1533-position model. The record is from RNAcentral.
GAUGAACGCUGGCGGCGUGCCUAACACAUGCAAGUCGAGCGAUCUUCUUCGGAAGAGAGCGGCGGACGGGUGAGUAACGCGUGGGUAACCUGCCCUGUACACACGGAUAACAUACCGAAAGGUAUGCUAAUACGAGAUAAUAUGCUUUUAUCGCAUGGUAGAAGCAUCAAAGCUCCGGCGGUACAGGAUGGACCCGCGUCUGAUUAGCUAGUUGGUGAGGUAACGGCUCACCAAGGCGACGAUCAGUAGCCGACCUGAGAGGGUGAUCGGCCACAUUGGAACUGAGACACGGUCCAAACUCCUACGGGAGGCAGCAGUGGGGAAUAUUGCACAAUGGGCGAAAGCCUGAUGCAGCAACGCCGCGUGAGCGAUGAAGGCCUUCGGGUCGUAAAGCUCUGUCCUCAAGGAAGAUAAUGACGGUACUUGAGGAGGAAGCCCCGGCUAACUAC